This 23-nucleotide non-coding RNA is filed under the name Cricetulus griseus (Chinese hamster). The record is from RNAcentral. Lineage: Eukaryota; Metazoa; Chordata; Mammalia; Rodentia; Cricetidae.
CUCUUUUGUGACUGGCAGAGCUA